AUGCUACCACCCUGCUGCAGCUCCCAAGCAGCACUCUCAGCCGCUGGGCAAGUCUCUGUCGGGACACGGCCUGGAAGACAGCAGGAAGAGAAGUUUUACAUCCCACGGGCACGCAGCUCCGAGCUAAACCACAGCCACCGCGUCAACGAGCCGCCUGCUGGGCAGCCGAUUAACGCGGCCUCCGGGAAGCUUCCCGGUGCACUAGCACAGAACACCUUUCAUCCGAAGACUCGAGGCCAUGGAAAAAGAAAAAAGAAAAGAAAACCUUUACCUGAAAAACGCACAUGGAUAGGCUUGUACAUGGAUUCAGACAGGCCGAAGGGGCUAUUCAGUCUCUGCGAAACCCCGGCACAACCUGUGUUCCCCGACGGGAGCUGGGACACCUCCGCUGCAGAGGCAGGGGAAGGGGAGCGCCCCUGCACGGCGCAGCCUGCCCGAAAGCCGCGGGACGUGUCCCGGCCCCGGCUGCAGCAGGAACCGACGGGCACGCUCCCUGCCUCCCGAGGAGUCCGGAGACAUUCCCUGCGUUGUUUCCUCACGCUCGUAGCGCAGAGGUGGCACAGGCUGGGGGCAGCGCCUCAGGCAGCAGCCAGGGAGGACGGCGGCAGCCCCAAAGCCCCAGCAGGGAUCCAGCACGGGCACUCUUGCCUCGCAGCUCCCCGCCGCGCUCCGGUUUCGGGGCUGCGCAAGGCAGAGAGAGCAAGAGCUGGGUGCUGGCCCUGCGGCAGGGUGCUCCACGGGAACCUCUCUCAACCUCUCUUUGACAUCUCAGAAAUUUCGCGUGUGUGGGAGACAGACGCUUCUUGGCUUCCCAAAGGAAUCCGCGCAUCUAAACAAAGCGGUGCCUCCAAACCCGUGACCCCACGGGCCCCGGCCAGCCGCAGGCCGAGGGCGAUGCCCAGGGAGGUACCUGAGGAGCCCUCCCAGGCACGACCCGCCCCCAGCCCCCCGAAAUCCCCCCGGCACACCGCUCCGGGGGGUGCCGACUCCCCGCCUGGCUCCACUUUGGCACCCAAACGCCACGUGCCGGAGGCGAGGCCGCUUGCACCAGGGGAGAGGCUCUGGAAGGAAAGCACGACCGAGGAGGAGCAGCCCUGGACUUUGGGAUCGUUCUUCUCACUUGGGCUGCUCUGGGACUUUUACGUUCCCUGA
This 1152-nucleotide long non-coding RNA is filed under the name Anser brachyrhynchus (Pink-footed goose). Its description in RNAcentral is "lncRNA (ENSABRG00000016311.1)". The record is from RNAcentral. Lineage: Eukaryota; Metazoa; Chordata; Aves; Anseriformes; Anatidae.